RNAcentral lists this unclassified non-coding RNA (348 nucleotides) under soil metagenome. RNAcentral's name for it is "partial contains 5.8S ribosomal RNA, internal transcribed spacer 2, and large subunit ribosomal RNA". The stretch from base 1 to 120 matches the Rfam family "5.8S ribosomal RNA", at positions 35 to 154 of the family's 154-position model. The record is from RNAcentral.
GAUGAAGAACGCAGCAAAAUGCGAUAAGUAAUGUGAAUUGCAGAAUUCAGUGAAUCAUCGAAUCUUUGAACGCACAUUGCGCCCGCUGGUAUUCCGGCGGGCAUGCCUGUUCGAGCGUCAUUUCAACCCUCAAGCCCCCGGGUUUGGUGUUGGGGAUCGGCUCUGCCCUUCUGGGCGGUGCCGCCCCCGAAAUACAUUGGCGGUCUCGCUGCAGCCUCCAUUGCGUAGUAGCUAACACCUCGCAACUGGAACGCGGCGCGGCCAUGCCGUAAAACCCCAACUUCUGAAUGUUGACCUCCGAUCAGGUAGGAAUACCCGCUGAACUUAAGCAUAUCAAUAAGCGGAGGA